This 111-nucleotide ribosomal RNA is filed under the name Acanthosepion pharaonis. The record is from RNAcentral. Lineage: Eukaryota; Metazoa; Mollusca; Cephalopoda; Sepiida; Sepiidae.
UUACAGCCAUAUCAGGUCAUAACACCGGCUCUCGUACGAUCAUCGAAGUUAAGCAACGUCAAGUUUAUCAGUACCUAGAUGGGUGACCGCAUGGAAAUACCAGCUUCUGUA